This 275-nucleotide ribosomal RNA is filed under the name uncultured bacterium. Its description in RNAcentral is "partial 16S ribosomal RNA". It matches the Rfam family "Bacterial small subunit ribosomal RNA", at positions 399 to 691 of the family's 1533-position model. The record is from RNAcentral.
GCGUGGAUGAAGAAGGCCCUAGGGUUGUAAAAUCCUUUCGGUGGUGAAGAUAAUGACGGUAACCACACAAGAAGCCCCGGCUAAUUUCGUGCCAGCAGCCGCGGUAAUACGAAAGGGGCUAGCGUUGUUCGGAAUUACUGGGCGUAAAGCGCGCGUAGGCGGCCUGGUAAGUUGGGGGUGAAAUCCCGGGGCUCAACCCCGGAAUUGCCUUCAAAACUACUAAGCUUGAGGCUGCGAGAGGUGAGCGGAAUUCCGAGUGUAGAGGUGAAAUUCGU